GACGAACGCUGGCGGCGUGCUUAACACAUGCAAGUCGAACGGAAAGGCCUGCUUUCCCUUGUGGAUUGCGGGUACUCGAGUGGCGAACGGGUGAGUAACACGCGAGUGAUCUGCCCCCAACUUGGGUAUAAGCCUGGGAAACUGGGUCUAAUUCCCGAUAGGACUGCAGGGUGGUGCCUGUGGUGGAAAACGAUUUUCUAGUGGUUGGUGAUGAGCUCGCGGCCUAUCAGCUUGGUGGUGGGGUAAUGGCCUACCAAGGCGGCGACGGGUAGCCGGCCUGGGAGGGUGGACGGCGACAUUGGGACUGGGUUACGGCCCAGACUCCUACGGGAGGCAGCAGUGGGGAAUAGUGCACAAUGGGCGGAAGCCUGAUGCAGCGACGCCGCGUGGGGGAUGACGGCCUUCGGGUUGUAAACUCCUUUCGACCGCGAGGAAGCCACCUGGUUGGAAGGGUGGUGACGGUAGUGGUAGAAGAAGCCCCGGCUAACUACGUG
This 494-nucleotide ribosomal RNA is filed under the name uncultured bacterium. RNAcentral describes it as "partial 16S ribosomal RNA". It matches the Rfam family "Bacterial small subunit ribosomal RNA", at positions 28 to 507 of the family's 1533-position model. The record is from RNAcentral.